RNAcentral lists this ribosomal RNA (450 nucleotides) under Stenotrophomonas maltophilia. Its description in RNAcentral is "bacterial SSU rRNA". It matches the Rfam family "Bacterial small subunit ribosomal RNA", at positions 53 to 491 of the family's 1533-position model. The record is from RNAcentral. Lineage: Bacteria; Pseudomonadati; Pseudomonadota; Gammaproteobacteria; Lysobacterales; Lysobacteraceae.
ACAUGCAGUCGUACGGCAGUCACACAGAGAGCUUGCUCUCUGGGUGGCGAGUGGCGGACGGGUGAGGAAUACAUCGGAAUCUACUUUUUCGUGGGGGAUAACGUAGGGAAACUUACGCUAAUACCGCAUACGACCUACGGGUGAAAGCAGGGGAUCUUCGGACCUUGCGCGAUUGAAUGAGCCGAUGUCGGAUUAGCUAGUUGGCGGGGUAAAGGCCCACCAAGGCGACGAUCCGUAGCUGGUCUGAGAGGAUGAUCAGCCACACUGGAACUGAGACACGGUCCAGACUCCUACGGGAGGCAGCAGUGGGGAAUAUUGGACAAUGGGCGCAAGCCUGAUCCAGCCAUACCGCGUGGGUGAAGAAGGCCUUCGGGUUGUAAAGCCCUUUUGUUGGGAAAGAAAUCCAGCUGGCUAAUACCCGGUUGGGAUGACGGUACCCAAAGAAUAAGC